RNAcentral lists this ribosomal RNA (460 nucleotides) under uncultured bacterium. RNAcentral's name for it is "partial 16S ribosomal RNA". It matches the Rfam family "Bacterial small subunit ribosomal RNA", at positions 338 to 795 of the family's 1533-position model. The record is from RNAcentral.
CCUACGGGAGGCAGCAGUGAGGAAUAUUGGUCAAUGGGCGCGAGCCUGAACCAGCCAAGUAGCGUGAAGGAUGACUGCCCUACGGGUUGUAAACUUCUUUUAUAAAGGAAUAAAGUGAGGCACGUGUGCCUUUUUGUAUGUACUUUAUGAAUAAGGAUCGGCUAACUCCGUGCCAGCAGCCGCGGUAAUACGGAGGAUCCGAGCGUUAUCCGGAUUUAGUGGGUUUAAAGGGAGCGUAGAUGGGUUGUUGAGUCAGUUGUGAAAGUUUGGGGCUCAACCGUAAAAGUGCAAUUGAUACUGGCAGUCUUGAGUUCAGUUGAGGUAGGCGGAAUGCGUGGUGUAGCGGUGAAAUGCUUAGAUAUCACGAAGAACUCCGAUUGCGAAGGCAGCUUACUAACCUGCAACUGACGUUGAUGCACGAAAGUGUGGGUAUCAAACAGGAUUAGAUACCCUGGUAGUC